AGGCCUAUGCCAGCUGAAACCAACUUUACUUCUGUACUUACUCUUUUCUUCUUCCUUCUGCUGUCAAAGAUCAAAGCUCUCUCUCUGAGUGUCUCUCUCUUCCCUCUCUCUAACUCCAUUCCUACAUCACUUGGUUUCCUGGGCAAGAGAGGUAAGUACUGAGACGCCCAUCUUUUGAUUUCCAACUGUUUACCCCUUUUUUUUCUUUUUUUUUUCUUGUAGUUUUAGGAAGAUGCUUGCUUUGUUUCUGCUCAGUUUGGUGCUAUGUAAAUCUGGAAUUCUAGUGGGUUCUUUGAAUGAUGAGGGUUUGGCUCUCUUGUCAUUCAAACAGUCCAUUAGAGAAGAUCCAGAAGGGUCAAUGAGUAACUGGAACUACUCUGAUGAAAACCCUUGUUCUUGGAAUGGUGUUACAUGCAAAGAACAAAGAGUUAUUUCUGUCAGCAUCCCAAAGAAGAAACUCUCCGGGUUUCUUUCUUCUUCCCUUGGAGAUCUCUCUCAGCUUAGACAUGUAAAUUUGAGGAACAAUAAUCUUUUUGGAAGCUUGCCUGUUGGGCUCUUUCAAGCUGAGGGGCUUCAGAGUUUGGUCCUCUUUGGGAAUUCCCUUUCUGGGCCUGUUCAUUCUGAGAUUGGGAAGCUCAAAUUUCUUCAGAACGUGGAUUUAUCAUAUAACUUCUUUAAUGGGUCAAUACCCACUUCGUUACUUCAGUGCAAGAGAUUGAGAACCCUUGAUCUGGGUCAGAACAAUUUCACCGGUUCCCUUCCUGAUGGAUUUGGGGCUAGUUUGGUUUCCCUAGAAAAAUUAGACCUUUCUUUCAAUAAAUUCAGUGGUCCAAUUCCUAGUGACGUGGGAAACUUGUCUAAUUUGCAAGGGACUGUUGAUUUGUCUCACAAUUUGUUUAGUGGUCCAAUCCCAGCUAGCCUAGGAAACCUUCCUGAGAAGGUCUAUAUUGAUCUCACAUACAACAAGCUCACCGGGCCGAUACCACAAACUGGUGCUCUUAUGAACAGAGGGCCAACAGCUUUUAUAGGAAAUCCCGGUCUCUGUGGCCCGCCCUUGAAAAAUCCGUGUUCAUCCGAUGCAGCAGGGGCUAAUUCUCCUUCGUCGUACCCUUUCUUGCCAAAUAACUACCCUCCACAGGGUACCAGCGAUAAUGCAAGAAAGAAUGGGAGCGGGAAAGGGCUUAGUAAAAGUGUGGUGAUUGCAAUUAUUGUUAGCGAUAUCAUUGGCAUUUUCCUAAUUGGGCUGAUAUUCUCGUAUUGCUAUUCAAGAUUUUUGCCUUGUAGCAAGAGGAAGGAUCAAAAUGGUUAUGAAUUCGGAAAAGGAUGGAAGCGAAGGAAAGAAUGUUUGUGCUUUACCAAGGAUGAAUCAGAGAUGUUGUCAGAUAAUGUAGAACAGUAUGAUCUUGUCACGUUGGAUUCACAUGUGAGUUUUGAUUUGGACGAGCUCCUGAAAGCUUCAGCCUUUGUGCUAGGAAAGAGUGGGAUCGGGAUUGUUUACAAGGUAGUGCUUGAAGAUGGGCUCCCAUUGGCUGUGAGAAGAUUGGGAGAAGGAGGAUCUCAGCGGUUUAAAGAAUUUCAGAUUGAAGUGGAGGCGAUUGGGAAGAUAAGGCAUCCCAAUAUUGUACCUCUUCGAGCCUACUAUUGGUCUGUCGAUGAGAAGCUGCUUAUCUAUGACUAUAUUCCGAAUGGUAACCUUUCAACUGCAAUUCACGGCAAGCCAGGAAUGACAUCAUUUGCGCCUCUUCCAUGGUCAGUUCGAGUGAAAAUAAUGAAAGGAAUUGCAAAAGGCUUGGCUUAUCUGCAUGAAUGCAGUCCUAAAAAAUAUGUCCAUGGGGACUUAAAGCCGAGCAAUGUCUUGCUUGGAUCCAAUUUGGAACCCAAAAUCUCUGAUUUUGGACUUGGACGCCUUGCUAAUAUAGCUGGAGGAUCCCCAACCCUACAAUCCAAUCGAAUUGCAUCCGAGAAGCUGCAUCAAAGGCAACAAAGCAAUGUUCCAUCAGAACUUGCAACAGUCAGCUCGGUUGCAAACUUUGGAUCCUACUACCAAGCCCCUGAGGCACUGAAAGUGGUAAAGCCAUCACAGAAAUGGGAUGCUUACUCGUAUGGGGUGAUCUUAUUAGAAAUGAUCACUGGAAGAAUGCCAGUGGUCCAAGUGGGUGCCUCAGAAAUGGAUAUCGUUAGCUGGAUUCAGCUCUGCAUCGAAGAAAAAAAGCCACUCGCUGAUGUUUUGGACCCGUACCUAGCAGAUGAUGCAGACAAGGAAGAGGAGAUGAUUGCUGUUCUAAAGAUUGCAAUGGCGUGCACGCAUAGUAGCCCCGAAAGAAGACCGACCAUGAGGCAUGUCUCGGAUGCUUUGGAGAGACUGACAGCGUCUAGCGAUUGAAACAAAACCCGGCUGCUAAAUCUCGUUCAUCUAUCAAGAUCAAGUGUAAAGUUGCGGCUGGAACCGAUGGAAGGCCAUAUCAAUGGUGGAAAUACAAGUGCAGGUGAGGCAGUGAACUGGGAGGUGUUAACAGUUUGUAUUUGCUUAGGAUUCCUGUAGUUUUGAGUGUAUUAAUAUUCCCCGGUGAAAAUAGCCUGCUUUGAAUUGACACCAUGCAUAGCCUUUAUAGCUUGGGAAAUGAAUUCAAUGGAUGGAGGACUAGCUGCUGGAUAAACUAUUGAACAUGUGAAGCAUUGAUGGGAGUUCUAGCAUUUGGUCCCACGUCAAAGGGUUGCAAUGCAGGGAACACAAAGCAUUGGAGGUUCAGUAUCCUUAGCCCUUAGGUAUUCUACAAGCUCUACUAAUAUCGGUAUCCUUUGAUACUCAAGAUGUUCUAUUGUUACAAAGACAACACGUACGAAGUCCUUGCUUUUUUACUUCCAAUCUUACCUUAUUCUUUAAAUGGCAUUUUACCAUCAUUGCCUUUAUAAAUUAUUUUCAAAAUUUAAACUCAUAACAUUCUAAUUGUAAAAGAACAAUAAGGCGAUGUAAUUGACAAGUAAUAAAUUUGGGUGUGGACUAGAGGCUUUUUCAAAGAAGCUUUUUUGUGAAGAAUGUUGUUUGUCAAACUAAUACAGCUUGGCAAGCUUGGAUUUAUGCUUAGCUAUGGGCCAUACAUGCCCCCCAAUUCAUUCAAUGCUCAAACAACCCCAAG
Diospyros lotus (date-plum) is the source of this 3137-nucleotide RNA transcript. It is a transcript of the gene named receptor protein kinase-like protein ZAR1, with no coding region annotated. The transcript has 3 exons. NCBI's taxonomy places the organism in Eukaryota, Viridiplantae, Streptophyta, Magnoliopsida, Ericales, Ebenaceae. The record is from RefSeq and is a predicted model, not a curated record.